RNAcentral lists this non-coding RNA (21 nucleotides) under Caenorhabditis elegans. Lineage: Eukaryota; Metazoa; Nematoda; Chromadorea; Rhabditida; Rhabditidae. The record is from RNAcentral.
CAAAGCAUUAUCUGAAUUUUC